Acanthochromis polyacanthus (spiny chromis) is the source of this 3545-nucleotide RNA transcript. RefSeq lists it as uncharacterized. The transcript has 9 exons. Lineage: Eukaryota; Metazoa; Chordata; Actinopteri; Pomacentridae. The record is from RefSeq and is a predicted model, not a curated record.
CUCUGCGAUGCACAGAAGGUUUUGAGCAGAUUGGAGUUGCUGACUCUUUGCCAUGUACCAAUGUAUGCUCUGAUGGUGGCUGCCUGCUCUUCAUCAGAACACUCUCCACAGCCAUGCACUAUAACAGAAAUCUACAUUGACAUUGUUCGUUACUGCCUUCAGGUAAACAGCAACAAAACAGAAGAUCUAAACACCUUCAUCAAAACCAAGAGAGAGGAAAUAUUGUUUUUGGCUGAAAUAGCUUUCAAUGCAACUCAGGGAAAAACUGUGAACCUGAAUGAAGUGCCCUGUAAAGACAGCUGUGUCCUUUCCUUCCUGAAACCACUUUUUAUCAAAGUCAGCCGAACUGAAACAGAAACUAGACACGUAUUCCUCCAUUACACACUGCAGGAGUUUUUUGCAGCCAUGUGGCUCUUAAAGAAUCCUGAUAAAAUCAGGAAUGUUUUUCAGCAGAGCCUCACUGAGGACAAGAAACACAUGAAACAUUUGAUCCCUUUCAUGUGUCGACUGUUGAACAAGAAGAGCCCAAGUUGGAUGAAGUGUCUGGUUCCAGUUGAGGAGCUCAACAGUACAUCUGACUGGUUCUUCAAGGAGCUCAUAACCACAUUUGUCCCAGAUGUGGUUGACACCGAAGACAGUGGGCUUGAUGUCGACACGUUGUUCUUAUGUCAGUGCUUGUAUGAGUCCCAGAGUCCAGAGGCAUGCAUCUACCUUCUAGACAAACUGGACUACCGUCUUGACCUCUGUGGAGAGAGUCUUGAUCCUUACCUCUGCUGUGCUGUGGCCUAUGUGGUCAAUCAGUCGAAGGGACGGAAAAUAUGGUUGAACCUUGAUGAUGUCACGAUAUCAGAGCGAGGAAUGAGACAACUGUUUGGAUGCCUUCAAAAUAUCCAAUGGUGUGACCCUUUGCCACAGCAGCUGUGGAAGAUUUUCCUUCUCAGUGAAGAACAGAUGGACUUUGUCAGCUUACUUAGCCUCAUUGAAAAUCAGCUGCACCUUCCAGUGGAGGGUAAAAAACAGCUGUUUGAAAGAGCUGUGGAAGUCAUGAAGAGGAUGACAACAAAUGUCAAUGUCUGCCUCUACUGGGACAGAGAAACUCCUGUCUGCCAGAGUCUGUGUGAGUCCUUAAUAGAGGCUUUGCCAUACGUCAGCUCACUCAGCUUUAGGAUGACCACCAGAAGUCCAGGUUUGUGGAACCAUGAGCAAUUCCAUGGGACACUGGAGAGGCAACAAAGGAGACUGUUACUGGAUUUAUGCCUGAAGGCAGCACUUCACAAUGAGCAAAGCUUCCCAAAUGCAGUGAAUAUGCUCCUCUCAUUGUUCCCUCAUCAAAGUGACUUAAGUAACCUCUAUCUCGAUCUGUACCAACAUGUUAGGAAUGAAGGAUUUUUGAGUAUCCUUCCAAAACUGAGGCUGCUUUUCCAGUCAUCUCCUUCAGUGUGGUCCAUAGACCUCUCAGAGAGAAAGACCUCCAUCCUCCUGGAAGUGCUGAAACUCCAAUCAGAGAAGAAACCAGUGGAGCUGACAGGCUGGUCACAUGAAGAGAGUGAAGUGAGGAGUUUCCUGCAGUGUCUGCCUUAUAUCUCACAGCUCAGUGUUGUGCCACUGUUAUCAGAAACUUCAGAAGAAAUCAGGUUCUUGGGGAAUCUGUUCUGUGCAGCAGCAGAGAGAGAAGAGCAAACAGGAGAGAAGAUACUGGAGCUGUUAUCAGUGUGCACAUACAAAACAUUUUCUCUAAAACAAAAAUGGUGUGAUUUCCUCCUGGACCUGUACUCUUAUGAGGCUAAAACAAGUUCAAGAGUGCUUCCAUCAUUACAGUCAGUUUUCCAGUCAACUCCUGCAGUCUGGUCCAUAGACCUCUCAGAGAGAAAGACCUCCAUCCUCCUGGAAGUGCUGAAACUCCAAUCAGAGAAGAAACCAGUGGAGCUGACAGGCUGGUCACAUGAAGAGAGUGAAGUGAGGAGUUUCCUGCAGUGUCUGCCUUAUAUCUCACAGCUCAGUUUCGUGCCUCAGUUACCAGAACCUCAAGAAGAACCCAGAUUCUUGGAGAUGCUGUUCUGUGCAGCAGCUGCAGAGAGGAAGCAGCAGAAACGAGAGAAGAUACUGGAGCUGUUAUCAUCAGUCUGCACAUACAAAACAUUCCCUCUCAAACAGAAAUGGUGUGAUUUCCUCCUGGACCUGUACUCGUAUGUGACUGAAACAGGUUUCAGAGUCCUUCCAUCAUUACAGUCAGUUUUCCAGUCUGGUCCUGCAGUCUGGUCCAUGGACCUCUCAGAGAGAAAGACCUCCAUCCUCCUGGAAGUGCUGAAACUCCAAUCAGAGAAGAAACCAGUGGAGCUGACAGGCUGGUCACAUGAAGAGAGUGAAAUGAGGAGUUUCCUGCAGUGUCUGCCUUAUAUCUCACAGCUCAGUUACCAGCCUCAGCUAUCAAGACCUUCAGAAGAAACCAGAUUCUUGGGGAAUCUGUUCUGUGCAGCAGCGGAAACAGACCAGCAGACAGGAGGAAAGAUACUGGACCUGCUUCCAUCUCUGUGCACUUUUGAAACAUUCCCUCUCAACCAGAAAUGGUGUGAUUUCCUGCUGGACCUGUACUCUUAUAAGACUAAAAUGGGCUUAGGUCCUCCUCCAUCAUUACAGUCAGUUUUCCAGUCAACUCCUGCAGUCUGGUCCAUAAACCUCUCAGAGAGAAAGACCUCCAUCCUCCUGGAAGUGCUGAAACUCCAAUCAGAGAAGAAACAAGUGAAGCUGACAGGCUGGUCACAUGAAGAGAGUGAAGUGAGGAGUUUCCUGCAGUGUCUGCCUUAUAUCUCACAGCUCAGUUUCGUGCCACAGUUAUCAGAACCUUCCGAGGAAAUCAGGUUCUUCGGGAAUCUGUUCUGUGCAGCAGCAGAGAGAGAACAGCAGACAGGAGAGAAGAUACUGGAGCUGUUAUCAUCAGUGUGCAGAUACAAAACAUUCCCUCUAAAACAACAAUGGUGUGAUUUCCUGCUGGACCUGUACUCUUAUGUGGCUGAAACAGGUCUGAGAGUCCUUCCAUCAUUACAGUCAGUUUUCCAGUCUGGUCCUGCAGUCUGGUCCAUAAACCUCUCAGAGAGAAAGACCUCCAUCCUCCUGGAAGUGCUGAAACUCCAAUCAGAGAAGAAAGAAGUGAUCUGACAGGCUGGUCACAUGAAGAGAGUGAAGUGAGGAGUUUCCUGCAGUGUCUGCCUUAUAUCUCACAGCUCAGUGUCGUUCCACUGCGGUCAGAUCCUGAAAAACAAACCAGGUUCUUGGGGAAUCUGUUCUGUGCAGCAGCAGAGAGAGAACAGCAGACUGGAGAGAAGAUCCUGGAUCUGUUAUCAUCAGUGUGCUGCUAUGAAACUUUCCCUUUUGAUGCCAAAUCCAUAGAUGAUCAAUAUCAUUGUGAUUUCCUCCUGGAUCUGUUCUCCCAUCUGAAGGACUGUGAGACUAAAACAGGUCUGAGAGUCCUUCCAUCAUUACAGUCAGUUUUCCAGUCAGCUCCUCCAGUCUGGUUCAUAAACCUCUCAGAGAGAAAGACCUCCAUC